AGGACUAGGUGGGUACUUGUUCUA
This 24-nucleotide non-coding RNA is filed under the name Arabidopsis thaliana (thale cress). The record is from RNAcentral. Lineage: Eukaryota; Viridiplantae; Streptophyta; Magnoliopsida; Brassicales; Brassicaceae.